CCCAGGGCGUUGCCCUGGGCUAAUAUGUUUUGCCCUUUCAGGGCG
Deltaproteobacteria bacterium is the source of this 45-nucleotide non-coding RNA. The record is from Rfam. Lineage: Bacteria; Pseudomonadati; Myxococcota; Myxococcia.